Xyrichtys novacula (pearly razorfish) is the source of this 1107-nucleotide non-coding RNA. The record is from the annotation of a GenBank genome assembly. NCBI's taxonomy places the organism in Eukaryota, Metazoa, Chordata, Actinopteri, Labriformes, Labridae.
GUUAGGUUUAUAAAAUUGUAAAAUAUACGAUUUAUUAAUGGUCUAUAUGCUAUUUAUGAAUUAUGAUUAAACUUUAAUGGUUAAUUUACCAUUUAUAAGUUAUGGUUAUUGUAAAGUGUUACCCAAUCGUGAUUGGUUAGCUGCUCACCUGGCAGGUUCACAGCCAGUUUACCAUGGCGGAUCAGCCUGGUGUUACCAGAACCGUCAGCCUGCUCAUAUUCAUUUUCGCUGCCAUUCCCGGUAUCCGAUAAACCGACCUGAUUAUAGCAGCUCAUUAAAACAAGAUCAAAUAACUCCACUCAGUGUCCAUCAAUAAGAAACCAAUAAGAAAGAAAGAAGAAUUUUUUAGCAGAUUUAUUGACAACCCUUUUGCACACAUGAACCAAAAAAUACAGUUGUCUCACUUUUCUAUCAUGGUGUAAAAUUUGAAAAGUUAAACACAAACUGUGUCAUGUUUUAAGGCACACAUAGAUGGUAAAUAACAGUGAGAUAGAGCAGCAUGUUUGUGUUUAUUUUGCUGUUUUUCCUCCUCUAACGUAUUCUUCUUUUGAAACUGUCAGCACGUGCAGCAUGUGGAUCAUCUGAUCUCUGAGUUUCUUCAUCUUCAACGAACAAACGAACAGAGGAGACGGAUUUAAAGAAAGAGCUACCAGAAUAUUCUAAUGACUUGAACUGUUUUGGAUCAAACCACUGUUUCACUAGUGUCCAUGUAUUAGUUAUUUAUUGUGUUUCCAACUUUUAUUUUGUAGUUUUUUCCAUAACUGUCGCAUAUGUUGUGGAAAUGGUUCAGUUUCCUUUAUGUAGCAGAGUAAUUUAAGAGCAGAGUAUGUUUGCUUGUAUCUGAACUAGAAUGUGUCGCAGGUGUUUGAGAGCUGUUUGUGUCUUCUUUGUGCUGCCUGUAUGUGUGUGUUCAUAAUAAAUGAAAUGGGACAAACUUGUUGUUCUGUGGGUUCACUUUUACCUUAAAGCUCCUGUGAGGAAUUUUCUGUCUGUGUUGACUUUGGUGCCCCCCUAUGGACCAAACAUUACCUCUUACAUCUGGGCUGAUUUUGUCCCACAUGUUCACAAAUGCUAAAAUAAUAUGAAAUGCAUUUUCUGUCUUGCGGC